CGGCGUGCUUAACACAUGCAAGUCGAGCGGGGACAUUGGAGAGCUUGCUCAAAGAUGUUCUAGCGGCGGACGGGUGAGUAACGCGUGAGCAACCUUUCUCUCAGGUGGGGAAUAACACAGGGAAACUUGUACUAAUACCGCAUGAGACCACGGUGUCGCAUGGCACAGGGGUCAAAGAUUAAUCGCUGAGAGGUGGGCUCGCGUCCGAUUAGGUAGUUGGUGAGGUAACGGCCCACCAAGCCGACGAUCGGUAGCCGACCUGAGAGGGUGAUCGGCCACAUUGGGACUGAGACACGGCCCAAACUCCUACGGGAGGCAGCAGGUGGGGAAUAUUGGGCAAUGGGGGAAACCCUGACCCAGCAACGCCGCGUGGAGGAAGAAGGUUUUCGGAUCGUAAACUCCUGUCCUCAGGGAAGAGCAGAAGACGGUACCUGAGGAGGAAGCCCCGGCUAACUACGUG
Molecule: ribosomal RNA, 460 nt
Filed under: uncultured bacterium
Lineage: Bacteria
Description: bacterial SSU rRNA
Rfam family: Bacterial small subunit ribosomal RNA
Source: RNAcentral